UUCGCGACGUCCACCUCUUCGCUCUGCUGGUAGAGUUUUCCCACCGCUUCGCUAAUCGCCGGGUGCCAGGUCACGGCACGGUUAACGGCCUCGCUCAGCUGCAGCGUGCCGGGGGCGGCAUUGCCCGCGACAGGCGCCACGCGGCCAUUCAGUGAGGGGAGUUCCUGCGUUUCGCGAAGUUGUCCGGUAUUGAUCGUUGCCGCCGGGUUCGCGCAGAGAGCGGGUACAGAGAUCAGGCAGCACGAGAGCCACCAGUAAGGCAUCUUCAUUCCCAUGUCAUGUCCCUAAUAAAAUAAGUACAGCUUUAUUGUUUAUGCCCGGGCGCUGUGCGCCCGGGU
RNAcentral lists this small RNA (338 nucleotides) under Enterobacter sichuanensis. Its description in RNAcentral is "isrL Hfq binding RNA". It matches the Rfam family "isrL Hfq binding RNA". The record is from RNAcentral. Lineage: Bacteria; Pseudomonadati; Pseudomonadota; Gammaproteobacteria; Enterobacterales; Enterobacteriaceae.